This 979-nucleotide ribosomal RNA is filed under the name Arthrobacter sp. RNAcentral describes it as "bacterial SSU rRNA". It matches the Rfam family "Bacterial small subunit ribosomal RNA", at positions 530 to 1505 of the family's 1533-position model. Lineage: Bacteria; Bacillati; Actinomycetota; Actinomycetes; Micrococcales; Micrococcaceae. The record is from RNAcentral.
ACGUACGUGCGUUCGGAUAUUGGGCGUAAGAGCUCGUAGGCGGUUUGUCGCGUCUGCCGUGAAAGUCCGGGGCUCAACUCCGGAUCUGCGGUGGGUACGGGCAGACUAGAGUGAUGUAGGGGAGACUGGAAUUCCUGGUGUAGCGGUGAAAUGCGCAGAUAUCAGGAGGAACACCGAUGGCGAAGGCAGGUCUCUGGGCAUUAACUGACGCUGAGGAGCGAAAGCAUGGGGAGCGAACAGGAUUAGAUACCCUGGUAGUCCAUGCCGUAAACGUUGGGCACUAGGUGUGGGGGACAUUCCACGUUUUCCGCGCCGUAGCUAACGCAUUAAGUGCCCCGCCUGGGGAGUACGGCCGCAAGGCUAAAACUCAAAGGAAUUGACGGGGGCCCGCACAAGCGGCGGAGCAUGCGGAUUAAUUCGAUGCAACGCGAAGAACCUUACCAAGGCUUGACAUGGGCCGGAUCGCCGCAGAAAUGUGGUUUCCCCUUUGGGGCCGGUUCACAGGUGGUGCAUGGUUGUCGUCAGCUCGUGUCGUGAGAUGUUGGGUUAAGUCCCGCAACGAGCGCAACCCUCGUUCUAUGUUGCCAGCGCGUUAUGGCGGGGACUCAUAGGAGACUGCCGGGGUCAACUCGGAGGAAGGUGGGGACGACGUCAAAUCAUCAUGCCCCUUAUGUCUUGGGCUUCACGCAUGCUACAAUGGCCGGUACAAAGGGUUGCGAUACUGUGAGGUGGAGCUAAUCCCAAAAAGCCGGUCUCAGUUCGGAUUGGGGUCUGCAACUCGACCCCAUGAAGUCGGAGUCGCUAGUAAUCGCAGAUCAGCAACGCUGCGGUGAAUACGUUCCCGGGGCCUUGUACACACCGCCCGUCAAGUCACGAAAGUUGGUAACACCCGAAGCCGGUGGGCCUAACCCCUUGUGGGAGGGAGCUGUCGAAGGGGGACUGGCGAUUGGGACUAAGUCGACCACAAAGUAUAACACAC